Molecule: ribosomal RNA, 253 nt
Filed under: uncultured bacterium
Lineage: Bacteria
Description: partial 16S ribosomal RNA
Rfam family: Bacterial small subunit ribosomal RNA
Source: RNAcentral
UACGUAGGUGCAAGCGUUAAUCGGAAUUACUGGGCGUAAAGUGUGCGCAGGCGGUUAUGUAAGACAGGUGUGAAAUCCCCGGGCUUAACCUGGGAACUGCAUUUGUGACUGCAUAGCUAGAGUACGGUAGAGGGGGAUGGAAUUCCGCGUGUAGCAGUGAAAUGCGUAGAUAUGCGGAGGAACACCGAUGGCGAAGGCAAUCCCCUGGACCUGUACUGACGCUCAUGCACGAAAGGCGUGGGGAGCAAACAGG